Molecule: ribosomal RNA, 385 nt
Filed under: uncultured bacterium
Lineage: Bacteria
Description: bacterial SSU rRNA
Rfam family: Bacterial small subunit ribosomal RNA
Source: RNAcentral
AUUGAACGCUGGCGGCAUGCCUAACACAUGCAAGUCGAACGGCAGCACGGUCUGGUUUACCAGAUGGGUGGCGAGUGGCGAACGGGUGAGUAAAGCGUAGGAAUAUACCUUAAAGAGGGGGAUAACCUGGGGAAACCCAGGCUAAUACCGCGUAAACUCUGCGGAGCAAAGCUGGGGACCGAAAGGCCUGGCGCUUUAAGAAUAGCCUGCGUCCGAUUAGCUAGUUGGUGGGGUAAAGGCUCACCAAGGCGACGAUCGGUAGCUGGUCUGAGAGGACGAACAGCCACACUGGGACUGAGACACGGCCCAGACUCCUACGGGAGGCAGCAGUGGGGAAUAUGCGCAAUGGGGGAAACCCUGACGCAGCUAUGCCGCGUGGGUGAUG